Molecule: ribosomal RNA, 253 nt
Filed under: uncultured bacterium
Lineage: Bacteria
Description: partial 16S ribosomal RNA
Rfam family: Bacterial small subunit ribosomal RNA
Source: RNAcentral
UACGUAGGGGGCAAGCGUUGUCCGGAAUCAUUGGGCGUAAAGAGCGUGUAGGCGGCUCGGUAAGUCCGCUGUGAAAGUCCAGGGCUCAACCCUGGAAUGCCGGUGGAAACUGUCGAGCUAGAGUCCGGGAGAGGCGAGUGGAAUUCCUGGUGUAGCGGUGAAAUGCGCAGAUAUCAGGAGGAACACCAAUGGCGAAGGCAGCUCGCUGGGACGGUACUGACGCUGAGACGCGAAAGCGUGGGGAGCAAACAGG